CAAACUAUCAGGGAGUUAUUAGCACAUAGCUUCAUGCUGCAGCAUAAAUGUUGAGUGAAGCCACUUUGAAUCACACUCGUGGCAUUGAGAGAAGCAGCCCCUCCCCUCUGCUCUCGGUUUUUGUUAUUACAAGUUCACAUGACAUGCCUCCCUGUUUCCUUCUAUCCUUCUAGCCAAUGGCGGGGGAGGGAGAGAGAGCUUCCUAAAGAGCUACAUCUACAUUUCAAAGACAGUAUCCCUCUUAUCAUGCUAAUGAUUCUACGUCAGUGACUCUCCCUAUUUGCUCUGGAGUUUUCAGGGGGAAAGUAGCUUAAAACCAGCAUUUUAAAAACCCAGAAAUACCUCGAGAUAAGCUAGAAUUCGCAAGACAAAGCCCGAUUUGUGUGUGGAGUGGGUUCAAGGAUCUCGAAGGGACUUCGGGGUGUGACAUCUUCCAGUUGACUCGUAUGCCAAGAUCAUUCAGAAGAGUUAUCACAUAAUGGAUCUGUGAAAGUAACUUGACCUGCAAGAAGCCAGUCGUCCAAGAUAGAAACACCACUAUCCCUCAUGUCCUUAGGUGUCAAGAAUGUGGAGUCCUGCAGCAGGGUAUCCCACAGAUGAUGAUUAUAUCUUGCCACUUAGGCUGCAUAGUUUGCAAUCCUUAUGGUCAAACUGGAAAUGGGGUAUAUCUUUCUACCCAAGACACCCAUUUUCCUUCCCUCUUUAUCUGAUGUGUCUCCAUCUGAACUUUGAUGAUCGUGCACAACCACCAAAGUGUUUGGAACCGGAUGUUUCAGGAGGUAUGAAUUGUUUCUUGAAUUCUGUAAAGGCCUUCCAGGCGUUUCAAGAACCAAUCUGAUACUGAGAAGCCUAGCAACGAGGUGCUGAUGCUUUGGCAAUCAGAAAGGAACUGAGAAAAUGACACCCCUAACUACCAAUAUCAGUGGAAGCACUGAGCACAUGCAGGGCAUAGUGGGUGCUGCGAGGAGCUAGCUAAUCCAUCUGUGAGGUCCCUGCAGAGGCACAGAAUCCAUUGCGUAUUAGUGCCAACAGAUCAUGAUCCAGAUCUGAAAGUUUACACAGUUAAAAGCAGAAGUAUAAGUUAAAAAUAAAAUAAAAUGUAAACUACUCCAUGAAGAAACAUGUUUCUUAAUGCAUUCUCUCUCUCUCACUCUCAAAUUAGAUCUGACUUCUCUUUGCCAAACUGCUGGUGUAGCAGCCAAAUCCUCCUGUUUAGUUUUCUCUUUACAAUUAGUACAUUUUAGCCAUAUGCAAACUGAAAUGUCAUAUGCCUGAAAUGUUCAUGACAUCUUCUCCAAGCCACUAUUUACUUCAAUACUUGCACAAUUAAAAUAUCCCAACUCAUAAAACUCUGUUGUGUAGGUACCACAUGACUCCCCUUAUGACCAUUAUGGUUAAAAUUUGAUCUUGCAAUAUUAGCAACGAUAUAAAACCAAAAGUAAAGGUUCAUAGGUGCCCACCAGAAUUUUCAGAUGUCCCUUAUUCUAGUAGGCACAUCAUAAUUCCAUAGACCAUCAAAGGUGUUCCUUAUUCUAAAACAUCUCAAGCCACUUUUUUUUUUAAAAAAAGUUGGCUAUAUCUAGCAGCCAUCCUUUGUCCUCCCUGUUUGUUUUUUAAAAACUGCUUUCAAGGAGUCAGAGAUUUCUGUCUUUUGGCUGAAUGAAUAUGGAAGCUGAGAAAACAUGCAAUCAACAUCCACCAACCUUCAAACUACAUAACUGAUUUAUCCAGAAAAUUCUAAGUGUGCCUGAAUGGUGCAAGACCAUGUAGACUUGCUACUUCCCAGGACACUUCUGUGCUCAUGUAAUGAUUAAAGACUGGUAAAUUGAUAGAAUAUUUAUCUUCUUUUUCAGGCAUGCAUAUGAAUCAAGCUAGGAUUCUAAUUUGUUAUUGUAAUUGUAAUUGUUUGUUAUUGUCAUUGUGUGUAUAGAAAUCUGGGAAGGUAAAAAGCAUGGAUUGAGGAGAUUGUUGUCUUCUUGUA
Hemicordylus capensis (graceful crag lizard) is the source of this 1981-nucleotide long non-coding RNA. RefSeq lists it as uncharacterized. The transcript has 4 exons. NCBI's taxonomy places the organism in Eukaryota, Metazoa, Chordata, Lepidosauria, Squamata, Cordylidae. The record is from RefSeq and is a predicted model, not a curated record.